UGGGGAAUAUUGCACAAUGGGGGAAACCCUGAUGCAGCGACGCCGCGUGAACGAAGAAGUAUUUCGGUAUGUAAAGUUCUAUCAGCAGGGAAGAUAAUGACGGUACCUGACUAAGAAGCACCGGCUAAAUACGUGCCAGCAGCCGCGGUAAUACGUAGGUGGCAAGCGUUGUCCGGAUUUACUGGGUGUAAAGGGCGUGCAGCCGGGCCGGCAAGUCAGAUGUGAAAUCCCCAGGCUCAACCUGGGAACUGCAUUUGAAACUGUUGGUCUUGAGUAUCGGAGAGGUAAUCGGAAUUCCUUGUGUAGCGGUGAAAUGCGUAGAUAUAAGGAAGAACACCAGUGGCGAAGGCGGAUUACUGGACGACAACUG
Molecule: ribosomal RNA, 370 nt
Filed under: uncultured Lachnospiraceae bacterium
Lineage: Bacteria; Bacillati; Bacillota; Clostridia; Lachnospirales; Lachnospiraceae
Description: bacterial SSU rRNA
Rfam family: Bacterial small subunit ribosomal RNA
Source: RNAcentral